This is a long non-coding RNA of Eriocheir sinensis (Chinese mitten crab), 2475 nucleotides long. RefSeq lists it as uncharacterized. The record is from RefSeq and is a predicted model, not a curated record. Lineage: Eukaryota; Metazoa; Arthropoda; Malacostraca; Decapoda; Varunidae. The transcript has 2 exons.
CUGGAUAAAGAGUAGACCGUCCACCCACCUCAGCAGCCAGCACCCAACUGAUCCUGGGUGUCCUCUGCUGCCCUCACCUCACCUCCCACCACUCUUCCCCCUCCUCCUACCUCCCCCCACCAUCCUCCCCCCAUACCUAUCCCCCUCUUAAUCACCCUUCACUCAUUACCUGCCAUACUAUACUUCCAUCAGUGGCCUCAUUCUCCUCUAACCGCUAUCAUGUGUAGGGAAAAAAAGAAUUCUGGAGUGUAAUUGAUUUUAUUCGAGUUGUGUGUUUGUAUAUACUUGUUAAUUUGGGUUUAUUGACUUUGAUGGUGUUUGUAAAGACUAAUUUGGAAGGAGAUCAGGCAGAGGACUACACUAAUGGGCAUGCAGUUGUGUAUUUGAUGUAUAUAGUAAUUCAUUUUCAUUUUCUUUGAUAAUAUUUUUUUAAGAUCAAUUUGUAAUGAGAUCAAGCAGAGUGAACGACUGAAAUAUUAGGUUACUAUGUACUUGUGUGUAUAUAUUUAUGUAUAUAUUAAUAAUUUACAUAUCAUUGCUUAUUAGUUCAUACUUAUUCCCUUUGAUAUUAUUUGUAAAGACCAAUUUAUAAUAAUGUCAACCAGGCAAGGAGAGACUCAUGGGUAACACUGAUUCAUUUAUAAACAUCACUAGGGGGGAACAUUUCAAAGAUUAUAAUGCUAAACUGAAAUCCAUUGUGUUAUUUUGGACAUAUAUACCUGUGUGAUGUAUAUACAAUGUGCCUAUGCUUACAUAUAUAAAAGUACAGGCGUGUGGGUGUGGGUGUGGGUGGGUGUGGGUGUUCAUGUACCCAAUCACCAGCAUCAUUGACCUCAUUCCUCGCAGCAGCUGAGAGUGAAUCAAGAGCGACCAGUGGGUGAUUCUAGCAAGUGUUCAGUGGUGGUUAAGAGGGGCGGGGACUAGCUAGGUCGGGACUCUCAGCCGCUUCCGACUCUCACCUCAACUAUAACCAAAUGCCGAAAGGGAGAUCAGUCGGGUAUGAAUGUGUAUGUUAAUCCUAGACAGUGAAGAUCAUGGUAGUGGCGUUGGUAAGAUUGAGGGAUGGAUGAAAGAUGAGGUUUGGUAUAAGAUAGGAGGGAGGGAAGGAGAGGAACGAGGAAAAAGAAGGAGGGAAGGAGAGGAACGAGGAAAAAGAAGGAGGGAAGGAGAGGAACAAGGAGAAGGAAGGAGGGAUGAGAAUGGAAAGCUUGUCAUAGUUAAAUCAUUAUUACUAUUAUUACUGUUAGUGUUGUUCGUAUACUCAUAACGGUUAGUGUAUUCUGUUAGGUAAUGUGUGUGUGUGUGUGUGUGUGUGUGUGUGUGUGUGUGUGUGUGUGUGUGUGUGUGAUACCUGAUAACUUACCCCGCCCCUUCUCAGUCACUACUUCUAUAACCACUACCACCACUAACUACCACUAACUACACUACUGGACAAGACAUUCAGCUAUAUACAAGUACUAUUUUAAUAUGCCCUUCUCCUCCUCCUCCUCCUCUUCCUUCUCCUAUCUUAAACCUUCCCUUCCUAUCACUUUCUUCUCGUCUUCCUCCUCCUCCUCCUCCUAUUUAUUAUUUUAACAUGCUUUACGACUCCUCUUCUUCCUCUUCCUUCUCCUCCUCCUGCCUUACAAACUUAAACCUCCCCAACCUGUCACUCCCUCCUUGUCUUUCUCCUCUUGUUCCUCUUCCUCCUAACCCUUCCCAUCCUAUCACUUCCUCCUCCUUGUCAUCCUCUUCUUCUUCUUCCUCCUCCUCCUCUCCCUCUCGAGCCCAAGGACGCGAGAAUGAAGCAAUGGUGGUCAGAAUGCUUACAAUUUAUUGAAUAUUAUACUGGUCACGUAUCACAAUGCACAAAGACUUAAUGGAAUGCACCGUGAAGCACAACGCUGGGCCGCACUUAUCAUCGCAAUGGUAGUACGUAGUAACAUACAUACAGACAGACAGACAUUCCUAUAUGGGUUAUAAGUGUGUGUGGAGGGACGUUGAGGGUUUAGUUAAUCAAGGAAUGGGAGUUACUGUGAGCAUCCAAAGAGGUGAUUGGAUUCUGUAUUGGUGUGUUCCUCGUUUGGUUCGUUAUACAGAAGUUCACAUAGACGUAGAAUUGUUUGGUGAGGUGUUUCGUGUCGUAAGGAAUGCAAAGGUAACGUGAUAUAUUGAUUGUCACACCUGUACGAGGCCCUGUUAGUGUUCCUCUUUUGUUUCUUAAUAUAGAAGUUCACAUAGACGUAUAAUUGUUUGGUUAGGUGCCUCAUCUCACAAGGAAUGCAAAGGGAAUAUUAGGUUUCUCGUGAGUCUUAGGAUGAAUGCAAGAUGUGUAUUUGUGUUCGUCUUUCGCUGCCUUUAAACACAGUAGAUAUAUGAUUGUUUAGUUAGGUGCCUCGUUGUAAGGAAUGCUAAGGGAAUGUAAGGUUUCUCGUGGGACUUAGGAUGAAUGCAAGAUGUGUAUUUGUGUUCGUCUUUCGCUGCCUUUAAACACAG